Molecule: long non-coding RNA, 5423 nt
Organism: Cercocebus atys (sooty mangabey)
Lineage: Eukaryota; Metazoa; Chordata; Mammalia; Primates; Cercopithecidae
Exons: 2
Source: RefSeq, a predicted model, not a curated record
AAAGUGUUGGGAUUAUAGACGUGAGCCACUGCACUCAGCCACAAGAUUGUUUUUUGUUUCUUUCCUGAGGAACUGUAAGAUUAGUACUGAGGGUGACAGCUCACCCUUAGGGAGCUGAUGGUGGUAGCAAACAUUAUUGAGGCAGCAGUCUCUGUUCCUUGCUUGUAUUUUUUUGCUUAUUCCCGUUCUUCAGAUGAAGUAAAAGCCGUAGAGAAAUGAAGGGACUCUUCUAAGUCCCCACAGGUAAUAACCUCAGAGACAGUGUUAGAACCCAAGCUGUUUGUCUUUACCCUGACUUGUAACUUUGGUUUUUUGGGAGCCUGACACAAUAGGAUCAUUUGGUAUUUUAGAACUUACCCAAGACAGGAGUGGCGGUGGACAGGAAGCUCCAUGCUGGACCUCCAAACCAGCCUUGAACUGAACUGUUGAAUCAGGUCUGUGUGCAUCUUCAAACCAGGCUGUGACAUGGAGGGGAACAGAAUGGAGCCUUCCCCCAUCACUCAUUUGUAAUCCCAACCACCCUCUCUUCAUUUUGCUGGCUUUUCCCCCAUUAUGUUACCAUCUGUCUCCAAAACAUUGCCUGGGUAAAGACAAGCUGGAGCAGUUGCUCGCCCUCAAACAAAACACAGAACUACUUCUCCUCACUCCCAUUCCCCCCCUACCCCCGACUAGUGCCAAGCACCAUAUUUGAGGAAUUCCAUAUUUAUAAAGCUUGCUUGCACCUCAAUGAUGCCUGCUUGCUGUCCUUUUUAUUAUUCUUCAAAUACGUUAUGUGCUGACUGGAAACGAUUAGCUUUUGUUACUGAGGGGUUUGUGGGAUGCUUGAAACAGCUUCAUAUAUAGUUCUCAGAUGGAAAUGCGUGCUGUUUGCUCCUUUAAGAAAUGAAAUUUCUUAAUGAAAGACAGCAUAGAGGAGAAUGCAUACUGAGGUUCCCCACCCAACUCUCUGGGUUUCUCUUAGGGUAAUUGUGGUAGGGUUUUAUGUCAUGGCCCUGUGGAGCGAAUAAACAGUGGAUCUUGGGUACUUUUUUCUGAGUCUGUACCCAUCUCUUCAUGCCUCUGACUAGGGGCCCUUGUUAAUGUCAAGGGCAGUGUUCUGUCCCCAACAGAGCUGUAGUGUUGCCCCCAGUCUCUGACCCACUCACCUUCUUUCCUGGCUGAUGACACUUCCAGUGUCCUGACACAUCUGGGCAGACUGGAAUUGGAGUUCUUAAAUGCCCUCUCUGACUGGCCCCAGCUCGAUUCUGCACUGGCCUUAGGAGACUCCACAAAGUUUGGAGAGGAAAGACCCAAACAGGUCUCAGAUGUAAAACUGGAUGAGUAUUUCAACUGCUGAAACUUUAGGAGGAAAAUAUGGAUUGGCCACGUGUUUGCCAACAUUAGUAAAGUAGUUACUAGUGAUUUCUUUUUUUAAAAAAGUUAUGGAAUCGUAUUUUUCUCAUUCAGAAGUGUUACUUAGGGAAUGACUGAGAUGUGUAUGUCUCCAGAGUUCUCUGUCAGACACUGUUCUCAGCCCUUAACGUAGAGUCAUUUUUUAAUCCAGGUGCCACAGCUGGGAACAGCAGAACCAGAAGCCAAACCCCAGCAAGUCUGACUCUGGAAGCUAGACUCUUCAAAGAUGUCAUAGGCCCUUUUAGAUGCCAGAGUUUUUGAUGUUCCAUUUUAUUCACAUUCUAUUUUCAUAGCCUGUGUUUAUUUCCAUUGAAAGCCGUGUAAUUAUAGACUUUAUGUUCUGUAUCUUAGCAAGGUAACUGUCUUUAAGCCAAUAAAACUUAAUACAUUACUGUUGAAGUAUGAAUAAGUUUUAAUAACCGAGAAAUACGCACACAUACUUAGAAUUCAAAAGUAUAAUUUGGAAGUGCACUCGAAAUAGUUUCACGUGAUUUUAAUUUCUGAAAAUCAAUUCUGUAUGUAAAUUGAAUGCAGUGUUUAUUCCAGUAAAACCCUGCCGGAAGUCUUUUUUAUAAAGUGAAUAAUCAACUCCUGAAUUAACUGUUAUACAUGGUUUCAGUGUGUACACCUUUUCUGUGCUCUCAUCUACCAAUCUGAAAAUUAGAUAUCUGAACAUUUUUCUGUGUUUCAAAUGUUGGAUGUACUUCCUGUAUCAUAAUAAAACUAGUUAUCCAUCAAGGCAUAAUCAACAAUAAAUGCCAAGCCUUAGAGCAGUUGCUGACUUUGCUCAGGGUUAAAGGAAGUAUGCUGAAAAGAGAUAACUGUAGUUCAAUUGCUCAGUCCAAGCCUUCCAGAUUUUUCAUGUGGGGAAUUGCACUUCUUAUUACUGUAUUCUUCCUGUCUACAUAAUACCUGGGAACAAUUUACUCCCUGUAAUGCCACUCCCAGCUUGGUAGUAAAGUUUUUACUGAAGAGGAAGACUUUUAGGGCAUGUCAGUUUAUUUAAUUGGAAUUUUCACUGGUGACUUUCAAGGUUUGAUUUCGCAGCUUUUAGGCAGGUCAAGACUAAAGGACUGUACAGAUUUUUUGGUAAUGCGAUUGUAUUACGUGUGUGCCGUGUGUGAGUAGCUCAGCUUAGAGUGUGAAUUGCAGUAAAUGCAAAAGUGAAAGCUGCAACAUGGCUCUCAUGCUCCCAACCACUUCCUGAAGAACCCCGCCACGCGGGCCCCAGACUUAGAGACUUGAAUCCUCAGGAUGGAAAGAGUCCAAUUCCCUCCUGGUAAAGACCUCAAGUAAACCUAAAUGUAGAAAACCUGUUUGCUACUCUAGUGUGAAUUCAAACGUUUGCUUGCCUCCAUUGUAAAAAUUUCAGGGCACACAUUCUGAAAUUUAAAAUAUUAGGGAAUAGAGCCAGAGCGUUGCCAUACCUUAAAAAUAAUCUUUCAUCUCUCCUGUUUACAUGAUUCAACCCUUGAAACCAGUUGGAAUGUGCGUCCUGAUCUCUAAAUGUACAAGUUAUUUAAAAAAAAAAAUGUGAGCUUGUUAGCUUAGCUACAGCCACCAGUCUAAUAAAACUGAGUCACAUCCAAAUGGGCUGCACUUAAACUACCCUCCUAUUCUAGGGAAAACGUGGCUGGGGGAGGCAGUCUGAGUCAUCACCUGGUUUGUUUGACAUACGCUUCCUUCCAUAAAUUGGGAAUGGCGAGCGGCACAGUGUUCUGGGCUUGCCUGGGAGAAGGAGCUGUUGCAGCCUUGCAUGAUCAAAAUAGGGCCUUUAGGUUUGAAGGAUGAGGCCGAGCCCAUAUUUUGACUCCAAAUGUCGGGGGAGGGGAGAAGAAGUCGACAGAUCCAAACAAGGAAUAUUUGUAAGUACCAUUUUUGGAGGUCGGAGAAAUGGUAGGGGUGUUCACAGUUGAAUUUCUUCCUAGGACAUAAAAGGUGUUUAAGAGAAAAAUUAGGGGCAUUCAAAUAAAAAUAAAUGGGUAUCUAUUUCACUAAGUGGGCUCAUUUACUUAACAAGAGUAUUCUUGAUGUGGACAGCUUAAAAUGAUUGAGAGAGAGAUGAUUUGGUAGUUACCAUACAAAUCUGUUCUGACAAUGUUUAAUUUCACUUAAUUUAUUUGACUAUUUUAAAAGAAAUGUAUUUCACUUAGGAAUCUUUUCAUGGCAAAUUUGAAUCUUCUUUAGGAGUAUUUUGAGGGAAUGGGAAGAGAGGCUCAUGUGUCUCGCACAUUUUCCUACAGCGGUUUUGCUGUAGGAAAACCAUUUUAAAAAGUUUAGAAUGUAAAAUUGUUGCAGACUAUAGAGGAAGGGGAAGGAGGAGUAGAUUUAUAGCUGAAGUGGGUUUGUAAACUCAGCCUCUGCUUUGGGAUUAUUUUUUAAUAUGUGCCAGACAUUCUUCUGAUUUUCAUCCUGGCUUGGUUGUGGCUCUUUCUCUGUCUGUGUGAGGCUGGGGUGUUCCCUGUUUUAAAGCCGUAGUUGUCGCAGCCUGGGCGUUUUCUGUUUUGGCUUAUGGCUUUUUUUUCUCUUUUCCUGAAUGAGUGUCCUUUGUGUAACCCCAGUAAUUCAGAAAUCCUGCAGUCAUAGGGACUGCCCUAUCAUGUGACUUAGGUACUAGGUUCUGGCUGCGAUUGGUCAGCAGCUAAUUGGCGGGUCCCUAUAAGAGGUCUUGGGUCGGGCAUCCGGCCACUCUCCUGCCUGGGCUGCUGCUCAACGGGGGCUGGGGUGGGGGGCGGUGUCUGUCCAGUGAUUCAGCCACAUGUGAUAGAUGACCAAGUGACUGCUUUCUUGGGGUCCGCACACCAGUGGAAGACAGUCAAAGUGGUUGUGACAGACUUGAUCAAACCCUGGGCUUCCUGAACUGGUAACUGUCACUUUAAUAUAGGUUACUGAUUAAACUCAGAAAAAUGCAGCUUAAAAUCUUUGCCAGGAACUUGUGUGGACUUAUUCCCUGUUCCCCCCCUACCCCCCUUGUUAUGAUUUGUUUUGUCACAGGAAUGAAAUGCAGAUAACUCUUUAGAAAACUUUUGUAGGAAAAGCGCCUCGUGUGAUCUGGAACAAAGACGUUUUAUAAUCAGAUUUAUCAAGCUGCGAAGAGGGAGUUUUAGUGAACGGAAGCAGCAGCAUUCUGUCACCAGGAAAUACUCCUUUAUCCAGAAUUGGAGCUAUAAACCAGUGGAGUUUAUCAUUGAAUAGAGUGCAGAGAAAGCACCGCAAGAAAGCUGAUCACCUCAGCAAUGAACGAUUUCAAUAUGAUUUCAUCCCAGUGGUCUCACACACCAGCCUAGUAAACCAGAGAUAAGGUGUAAUGUCGUCCUUCCUUCUCCCUGCCUCGACUGUCAAAGAUUGACCACUUACAUGUUGUUUACUUUUUGGCUUAUUUCUGUUCAUAAUUAUUAUCAGAAGGCAUAGCACCCACGAGCCUAAUCAUGCUGCCUUACAACCUUAUUCCUCUUCAUUUUGUCUUCUCACUUACCUGCAGAAACCCAGGUAAUUAUUUUUGUUCUGCCCUUACCACACAGCCUUGUAACUGUUAUGAAUGACCCUCAGUCUCACUGGAAUCUGAAUCACUCAGGAAUUUAGGCAAACUGGAUGUUUUAACCACUGUUCAGCUUUCUUAUGGAAUGACAGAGAACUUGUAAAGAUAAAACACCAGUUUGCAGGAAGAAAGGAAGAGAAUGGAACUUGCUUCUGGAAAAUAUGAGUUUUACAAUGUGUUUUGUCUGUCUGCUCUCUUAAACUUAAUCCUAUAAACAUUUUUUAAGAACUAGCCAUUAAGACUGUUAAGUUCUCAAUUAUAAAGGAAUAAAAUGUUUUAAGGAGGAUUUACUUGCCCUUGCUUAUAUGAACUGCAUAUUUUUAGUAGGAAAUCAUGUAAUUUAAAUUAGUAUUGAAUGUAGAAAAUGGACAUAUAAAGAAUACAAGAAUGAAUGUCUACAUGUAAUAAUGGAUGGUAGUGAUAUAAUGCAUUUUUGUCAUCCCAUGCUGAAUUCAGUAAAAAUAAAGCUAAUGACUUGGAGCUUUUAAAAUAU